GCGGCAGGCCUAACACAUGCAAGUCGAACGAAGCCUUCGGGCUUAGUGGCGGACGGGUGAGUAACGCGUGGGGAUGUGCCUUGGGGUGCGGAACAACAGCUGGAAACGGCUGCUAAUACCGCAUGAUGUCUACGGACCAAAGAUUUAUCGCCCUGAGAUCAACCCGCGUUGGAUUAGAUAGUUGGUGAGGUAAUGGCUCACCAAGUCGACGAUCCAUAUCUGGUUUGAGAGGAUGAUCAGACACACUGGGACUGAGACACGGCCCAGACUCCUACGGGAGGCAGCAGUGGGGAAUCUUGGACAAUGGGGGCAAGCCUGAUCCAGCCAUGCCGCGUGAGCGAUGAAGGCCUUAGGGUUGUAAAGCUCUUUCACCGGUGAAGAUAAUGACGGUAGCCGGAGAAGAAGCCCCGGCUAACUCCGUGCCAGCAGCCGCGGUAAUACGGAGGGGGCUAGCGUUGUUCGGAAUUACUGGGCGUAAAGCGCGCGUAGGCGGGCUGUUAAGUCGGGGGUGAAAUC
RNAcentral lists this ribosomal RNA (516 nucleotides) under uncultured bacterium. RNAcentral's name for it is "bacterial SSU rRNA". It matches the Rfam family "Bacterial small subunit ribosomal RNA", at positions 39 to 601 of the family's 1533-position model. The record is from RNAcentral.